Long non-coding RNA from Pan troglodytes (chimpanzee), 15275 nucleotides. RefSeq lists it as uncharacterized. The transcript has 5 exons. NCBI's taxonomy places the organism in Eukaryota, Metazoa, Chordata, Mammalia, Primates, Hominidae. The record is from RefSeq and is a predicted model, not a curated record.
GCCUAUUGUUAGGCACCAGCUCAAGCAAUCAGGCUUUCUUUGUAUUAGCUGAAAAACAAGGAAAUCGCACAUCCACGCCUAACUGCCUCACACCUGUGCUUGCAAAAGUGGCAGAAGCACUGAGCAUCUUGUGACUAAUCUGGAAAAUUGUCUACUUCAAGCAAAGUGACUUUCAGUGUUUCAGAUCUCCCUCUUCUCCCACCCUCAUGGAAGCUUUGCUUCUUUUCAUCUUAUAGUCAAAUACUGAUCCACUCGACCUGUCCUCGAGGUUUUGAUUAACACAGAAGAUUGCCACGCCGAAGGUGCAGCUUUUCUUAUGGAGAUAGCAGAGACACAAGAGACCAAGCUCAACUACACAAGCAUAUUUCAUGUCUCUGCUUACGUCACAUCUGUCAUUAUCCCAUUGGCCAAGGAUCAAAAAUUUAUGAUUUAGAGGAGCCAAGAUGGCCGAAUAGGAACAGCUCCGGUCUACAGCUCCCAGCGUGAGCGACGCAGAAGACGGUGAUUUCAGCAUUUCCAUCUGAGGCUGGAGUGCAAUGGCGUGAUCUCGGCUCACCGCAACCUCUGCCUCCCAGGUUCAAGCGAUUCUCCUGCCUCAGCCUCCCAAGUAGCUGGGAUUACAGGCAAGUGCCACCACCCCUGGCUAAUUUUGUAUUUUUAGUAGAGACAGGGUUUCUCCACGUUGAUCAGGCUGGUCUCGAACUCCUGACCUCAUGUGAUCCUCCCGCCUUGACCUCCCAAAGUGCUGGGAUUACAGGUGUGAGCCACUGUGCCCAGCCAAUUUUUUUAUUUUCUAAGUGUAAACACUUUGCUUGGCAUGAACCACACAGAAACACACUGGGACCUCAGCACACAUUCAAGGAUCAAAAUCAUCCUAGGGGAGAGCUCAGAAAAUAGGACACAAAAUAUGUUUGCGUAUGGAGAAAGGCCUACAGCUUUGAGGGCUGGAUGGUACCUAGCUUCAUCCAUUGGGGUCAAAACUGUUGACCUGUGUUGCCAGUAGCUUCCAUGAUGGUUUACUACAAGUACACAUUGAUAUGUGGGGCCAGGCAGAGGCAAGAGAGAAGAGUAAAAGGCAAGUGAAAGAUCUAGUUUCCCAUAUGUGUGUCAGGUUUCCAUAAAUGAGAUGGUUUAUGAAAGAGUCCCUAGACCUCAGGACCCAUCACUUAGCUUGAAGUCCUCUCAGUCCAGAGCUGCACCAGUCUUUCAAAUCAGCCAGUCCCAUCUUCCCUGGGCAAGGCCUGUGAACAGAAAAUUAAUUACAUUCAUGUCCCCAACAGAUACAUUGAAGGACUUCCACUCCACAUUGUGAGAAAAUGACAUAUUUUGAUAACCCAAUAAGUAUAGCAUGAGCCAAUAAGUCACAGCAGAAGGAGCAAUUUAGGAGAUUGUUUUUAAACAUGUGACUGAAUUAUUGAGAAAUGGAUAAUAAAUUUAUUUGCUAAUGUAGACAGAAAGGGAAAAAUCCACAUUGCUUUUUCAGCCCAUUACUGAACUAACUUCUGAGUUUCAAGACAUCUUUUUCUUUUCUAAAAGGUGACCAGGAACAUAGAUUUCUGGGCCAGUCUAACAGGAGCCCAAGGCACCCUUGGCCUAGGCCCCAGAUGGCCUCUCCUAAACACUUCACAGCCCUCAUAUACAGAAGCCCCAGUGCAGCAAUGAUUAGCCAACAAGCAGAAUGAUAAGGCAAAGUGAGGACACUUCCUCAAGACUUUUGGUUUUGGGGGCCUGCAAAUGUGAGAUACAGGCUUCAGAAGCAGCCUGAGGGCUCUGGGGCUUAAAGAAAAAGUUGGACAGUUAGCUCACCACUGACAAGCCCUACUCCCCUCUCCAUCCUCAUUUAACACUGGGCCUAGCUGGCUACUGCCUGCCUAAGGCGACAGGCAGUUAAGUUGUUUCCGAAUGGAACUUGUUGUUUCCAGGAAUCUGGUAGUAAAUCCUUCUUUGAAGGAAAAAAUACCCUAUAAUUCUGCACAUCCGCAUUGUGUCAGUUUUCUAUUUUCUCUCUGUGUAUUUUUAACUAUAUAAGUACUAUAUGGAUAUACUCCUGUAAUAACACAAUUGGUACAUAUAAUGUAAAAAGACUUUCUUGACCACUGCCUUCUCAUUCUAUUCCCCUCCCCAGAGACGACCACUAAGAUCAGUUUGCUCUAUAUCCCCCAAUGCCUUUUCCUAUUCUUGUUUCUUAUUCUUGCUUCCAUUCUUGUGUAUGUAUAUAUCUAAAUUUAUGACGUUGUUGGGUGGGAUUUUUCUUUUAUAGAAAUAGUGUCAAGCUACAUAUAGCAUAUUUUCCACUUGCAUUUUCUUCUUAACAAUGUGUCUUAGAGAUUUUUCAUGUCAGUAGAUACAGAGCUAUUUUAUUCUUUUUAAACAGAUAUGUAAUAUUCCCUAAUAGGGCUGAACCCUUCUUAUUCAGUUACCUUUGGUUGGGGAAGAGGUGGUGGAUUAGGUCAAUUUGAGGCAGCAAAGAGCAUUCUUGUCAUACCUUGUUGUGCAUACAGGUUGAGUAUCCCUUAGCUGAAAUGCUUGGGACUAGAAGUGUUUUGGAUUUUGGAUUUUUUGUCAGUUUUUUUGGAAUAUUUGCAUUAUUACCAGUUCAGCAUCCCUAACCUGGAAUCUGAAACGCUCCAAUUAGCAUUUCCUUUGAGCACCACGUUGGCACUCAAAAAGUUUCUGAUUGUGGAGCAUUUUGAUUUCAAAUUUUUGGACUAGGGAUGCUCAACUUGUAUUUUCAAACAUUUCCCUAGGCUAUAUAUGUAGAAGUAGAAUCGAUAUAAUGAAGAGAAAGCACACGUUAGAUUUUAAUAGAUAUAGCCAAAGUACAUUCCAAAAAGACUGUGCCAAUUUAUACUUCCCAACAGUAAACUAGAGUUUCCAUUUCUCUUCACUCUCAUUAACACUGGAUAUUCACCAUCUUUUUCCAUUUUGCCAAUCUGAUGGGUAAAAUAAUCUCACCUUUUCAAUUUGCUGGGUUUUGUUUGUUUGUUUUUGUUUGUUUCUUUGUUUUUUUGAGACAGAGUCUUGCACUAUCACCCAGUCUGGAGUGCAGUGGCGCGAUCCUGGCUGACUGCAACCUCCGUCUCCCAGGUUCAAGCGAUUCUCAUGCCUCAGCCACCCGAGUAGCUGAGAUUACAGGUGUGCGCCACCAUGCCUGGCUAAUUUUUUUGCACUUUUAGUAGAGAUGGGGUUUCACCAUGUUGGCCAGGCUGGUCUCACACUCCUGACCUUAAGUGAUCCACCCGCUUUGGCCUUCCAAAUUGCUGGAAUUACAGGCGUGAGACACCAUGCCCAGCCUCAAUUUGCAAUUCCAUGAUUACUACUGAAGUAUAUUUUCAAAAGCCUAGUGAGCUUUGAAGUGUCUAGUCUUAACUUGUCCACUUGCCCGUAUACACAAUAACAUCUUUUCCUUUUUCAGGUUAACCACUCAGGGGCUCAGUUUUGGUUUAUUAUCCUAAAACAUAUUUUAUCCAAUCCACCGUUGAUGGGCACUGGGAUUGAUUCCAUGUCUUUGCUAUUUGUGAACAGUGCUGUGAUGAACAUGAGAGUUCAUGUAUCUUUUUGGUAGAAUAAUUUGUUUUCUUUUGGAUACAUACCUAAUAAUGGGAUUGCUGAGCUGAAUGAUAGCUCUGUUUAAGUACUUUGAGAAACUGCAAAACUACUUUCCACAGUGGCUGGACAAAUUUACACGCUUACCAACAGUGUGUAAGCAUUCCCUUUUCUCCACAGCUUCACCAACAUCUGUUGUUUUUUGACUUUUUAAUAAUCACUAUUCUGACUGGUGUGAGAUGGUAUCUCAUUGUGGUUUUGAUUUACAUUUCUACGAUGAUGAGUGAUGAUAAGCAUUUUUACAUGUAGUUAUUGGCUGCUUGUAUGUCUUGUUUUGAGAAGCAUCUGUUCACAUCCUUUCCCCAUUUUUCAAUGGGGUCAUUUGGUUUUUGCUUGUUGAUUUGUCUAAGUUCCAUAUAGAUCCUGGAUAUUAGACCUUUGUUGGAUGCAUAGUUUGUGAAUAUAUUCUCCAAUUAUGUAGGUUGUCUGUUUACCCCAUUGAUAGCUUCUUUUGCUGUACAUAAGCUCUUUACUUAAACUUGGUCCCACUUGUCAACUUUUGUUUUUGUGGCAAUUGCUUUUGAGGACUUAGUCAUAAAUUCUUUCCCAUGGUCCAUGUCCAGAAUGGUGUUUCUGAGAUUUUCUUCUAGAAUUUUUAAUAGUUUCAAAUCUUACAUUUAAAUCUUUAGCCCAUCUCCAGUUAAUUUUUGUAGAUGGUGAAAAGUGGAGGUCCAAUUUCAUUCUUCUGCAUAUGGAUAGCCAGCUAUAUAUACCAACACCAUUUAUUGAACAGAGAGUUCUUUCCCCAUUGCUCAAUAAUAUGCUUUUAAACAGACUUUGGGUUUCCUACGGGUGGUUAACAUGCUUUACACUACUUUCUAAUUUUUCCCUACGAAUUUCCCAUUUUGGGGACAGUUGCCUUGACUAGAACUGAGGGACUUUGGGAUACACUGUUCUGAUUUUCCCUCUUUCACCAGAAUUUUGAACUUCAUUUUUCUAUGGCUGCCACACCAAUGUGACUUAUCCACAACCACUCUCUGUAUCCUUUCCUGUUUAUGUCUCAAAGCCAAAGUCAGUUUAUUUCCUUUUCCUGUGGUUUCUAAGACUACUUAUUUAAAGAAGCAAUCAUUCAUAGCCUCCAGAAAAAGCACCACUUCUCAGGGAUAUUAUUCAAAAUAUUUAAGAACCAUAUGGCCAAGACACAGACCAGUAGGACUGGAUGUCUGAAUAGGGCAAACACUGGUCUUAGCAUCAUGCUAACAUCAACUGGCUAAACACCACUCUUUCCUGCAAUUGCUUCUCCAUGACUUUGUCUGCCAAGCACUGUCUCUGCUAUCAAAUCACCUUUGUCCCCAAAACUUUAUUCAUUCAUUCAACACACAUUUACCAAGAGGCUCCAAAAUUCCUUAUAUUAAGACAUUGUGUUAGAGCAGGCCUUCUUGACCUCAGCACCACUGAAAUUUGGAGCAGGAUAAUUCCUGCUCCCUCGUUGGAGGGAGGGACAUUCCUUUGCAUUGCAGGAUUUUUAGCAGCAACCUUGGCCUCUAUCAGCAGCAUUAUAAUUAGUCAUGAUGAGCAUUUUUUUAAGUUUUAAUUUUUUAUUGUUUUUUAAUCCAAUUUUUUUUAAAUUUUUUUUAUUUCCAUAGGUUUUGGGGGAACAGGUGGUGUUUGGUUACACGAGUAAGUUCGUUAGCAGUGAUUUGUGAGAUUUUGGUGCACCCAUCACCCGAGUGGUAUACACUGCACCCUGUUUGUAGUCUUUUAUCCCUCACCCACCUCCCACCCUUUCCCCCUGAGUCCCCAAAGUCCAUUAUGUCAUUCUUAUGCCUUUGCAUCCUCAUAGCUUAGUUCCCCCUUAUGAGUGAGAACAUAGAGUGUUUGGUCUUCCAUUCCUGAGUUACUUCACUUAGAAUAAUAGUCUCCAAUCUCAUCCAGGUCACUGCAGAUGCCAUAAAUUCAUUCCUUUUUAUGGCUGAGUACUAUUCCAUCAUAUAUAUAUGUUUCUUUAUCCACUCGUUGACUGAUGGGCAUUUGGGUUGGUUCCAUGAUUUUGCAAUUGCGAAUUGUGCUGCUAUAUACAUGCAUGUGCAAGUAUCUUUUUCAUAAAAUGACUUCUUUUCCUCUGGGUAGAUACCCGGUAGUGGGAUUGUUGAAUCAAAUGGUAGUUCUACUCUUAGUUCUUUAAGGAAUCUCCACGCUGUUUUCCACAGUGGCUGUACUAGUUUACAUUCUCACCAGCAGUGUAGAAAUAUUCUCUGUUCACUGCAUCCACGCCAAAAUCUACUACUUUUUAAUUUUUUUGAUUAUGGCCAUUCUUGCGGGAGUAAGUUGGUAUUGCAUUGCGGUUUUGAUUUGCAUUUCCCUGAUCAUUAGUGAUGUUGAGGAUUUUUUUUUCAUAUGUUUGUUGACCAUUGUAUAUCUUCUUUUGAAAAUUGUCUAUUCAUGUCCUUAGCCCACUUUUUGAUGAGAUUGGUUUUUUUCUUGCUGAUUUUUUUGAAUUCAUUGUAGAUCCUAGAUAUUAGUCCUUUGUCAGAUGUAUAGAUUAUGAAGAUUUUCUCCCACUCUGUGGGUUGUCUGUUUACUCUACUGACUGUUCCUUUUGCUGUGCAAAAGCUCUUAGAUUAUUUAAGUCCCAGCUACUUAUCUUUGUUUUUAAUGCAUUUGCUUUUAGGUUCUUGGUCAUGAAAUCCUUGCCUAAGCCAAUGUCUAAAAGGGUCUUUCCAAUGUUAUCUUCUAGAAUUUUUAUAGUUAUAGUUUCAAGUUGAUUUUUGCAUAAGGUGAGAGAUGAGGAUCCAGGUUCAUUCUCCUAGAGGUGGCUAGCCAAUUAUCCCAGCACCACUUGUUAAAAAGAGCGUCAUUUCCUCACUUUAUGUUUUUGUUUGCUCUGUUGGCUGUAAGUAUUUGGGUUUAUUUCUAGGUUCUCCAUUCUGGUCUAUUGGUCUAUAUGCCUAUUUUUAUACAGUAUUAUGUCAUGCUGUUUUGGUGGCUAUGUCCACAUAGUAUGGUUUGAAAUCAGGUAACAUGUUGCCUCCAUAUUUGUUCUUUUUGCUUAGUCUUGCUUUGGCUAUGUAGGCUCUUUUUUUGUUCCAUAUGAAUUUUAGAAUUGUUUUUUCUAAUUCUGUGAAGAAUGAUGGUGGUAUUUUGAUGGGAAUUACAUUGAAUUUGUAGAUUGCUUUUGGCAGUAUGGACAUUUUCACAAUAUUGUUUCUACCCAUCCAUGAGCAUGGGAUGUGUUUCCAUUUAUUUGUGUCAUCUAUGAUUUCUUUCAACAGUGUUUUGUAGUUGUCCUUGUAGAGGUCUUUCACCUCUUUGGUUAGGUAUAUGCCUAAGGUUUGUUUUUUGUUUUGUUUUGUUUUGUUUUUAUUGCAGCUAUUGUCAAGGGGGUUGAGUUCUUGAUUUGAUUCUCAGCUUAGUCGCUGUUGGUGUACAGGAGAGCUACUGAUUUGUGUACAUUAAUUUUGUAUCCAGAAACAUUGCUGAAUUCUUUUAUCAGUUAUAGGAGCUUUCUGGAGGAAUCUUUAGGGUUUUCUAGGUAUACAAUCAUAUCAUCAGCAAACAGCAACAGUUUGACUUCCUCUUUACCGAUUUGGAUGCCCUUUAUUUCUUUCUCUUGUCUGAUUGCUCUGACUAGGACUUUCAGUACUAUGUUGAAGAGGAGUGGUGAGAGUGGGCAUCCUUGUCUUGUUCCAGUUCUCAGAGGGAAUGCCUUCAACUUUUCCCCAUUCAGUGAGUUAGUCAUAUAUGGCUUUUAUUACACUGAGAUAUGCCCCUUGUAUGCCAAUUUUGCUGAGAGUUUUAAUCAUAAAGGGAUGCUGGAUUUUGUUGAAUACUUUUUCUGCAUCUAUUGAAAUGAUCAUGUGAUUUUUGUUUUUAAUUCUGUUUAUGUGGUUUAUCUCAUUUAUUGACCUUGUGUAUGUUAAACCAUCCCUGCAUCCCUGGUAUGAAACCCAAUUGAUCAUGGUGGAUUACCUUUUUAAUAUGUUGUUGGAUUUGGUUAGCUAAUAUUUGUUAAGGAUUUUAACAUCUAUGUUUGUCAAGGAUAUUGGUCUGUAGUUUUCUUUUUUAUUGUGUGCUUUCCUGGUUUGGAUAUUAGGGUGAUACUGGCUUCAUAGAAUGAUUUAGAGAGGGUUCCCUUUUCCAUUACCUUGUGGAAUAGUGUCAAUACGAUUUGUACCCGUUGUUUGGAUGUCUGCUAGAAUUCUGUGGUGAAUCUGCCUGGGUCCUGAACUUUUUUUUGUUGGUAGGUUUUUAAUUACCAUUUCAAUCUUGCUGCUUGUUAUUGGUGUGUUCAGGGUAUCUAAUUCUUCCUGAUUUAAGCUAGGAGGGUUGUAUCUUUCCAGGAAUUUAUCCAGCUCUUCUAGGUUUUCUAGUUUAUGCACAUAGGUGUUUCACAGUAGUCUUGAAUGAUCUCUUGCAUUUCUGUGGUGUCAGUUGUAAUAUCUCCUGUUUCAUUUCUUAUUGAGCUUAUUUGGAUUUUCUCUCUUCUUUUCUUGGUUAAUCUUGCCAGUGGUCUAUCAAUUUUAUUUAUCUUUUCAAAGAACCAGCUUUUUGUUUCAUCUAUCUUUUGUAUUUUUUUUUGUUUCAAUUUCAUUUAGUUCUGCUCUGAUCUUGGUUAUUUCCUUUCUUCUGUUGGGUUUGGGUGUGGUGUGUUCUUGUUUCUCUAGUUCCUUGAGGUGUGACCUUAGAUUGUAUGUUUGUGCUCUUUCAGACUUUAUGAUGUAGGUGUUUAGGGCUAUGAACUUUUUUCUUAGUACAACCUUUGCUGUAUUCCAGAGGUUUUGAUAGGUUGUGUCACAAUUGUCAUAUAGUUCAAAGAAUUUUUUAAUUUCUAUCAUGAUUUCAUUUUUGACCAUAUGAUCAUUCAGGAGCAGGUUAUUUAAUUUCCAUGUAUUUGCAUGGUUUUAAAGGUUUCUUUUGGAGUUGAUUUCCAGUUUUAUUCCACUGUGGUCUAAGAGAGGGCUUGAUAUAAUUUGUUUUUAAUUUGUUGAGGCUCAUUUUUUGGCCUAUCAUAUAUCUAUCUUGGAGAAAGUUCCAUGCGCUAUUGAAUAGAACAUAUAUAUUCUGUGGUUGUUUGAUGGAAUGUUCUGAAUAUAUCUGUUCAGUCCAUUUGUUCCAGGGUAUAGUUUAAAUCCAUUGUUUCUUUGUUCACUUUUUGACUUGAUGACCUGUCUAGUACUAUCAGUGGAGUAUUGAAGUCCCCCACUGUUAUUGUGUUGCUGUCCAUCUCAUUUCUGAGGUCUAUUAGUAAUUGUUUUAUACAUUUGAGAGCUCCAGUGUUAAAUGCAUGUAUGUUUAGAAUUGUGAUAUUUUCUUGUUAGACAAGACCUUUUAUCAUUAUAUGAUGUCCCUCUUUGUUUUUUUUAACUGCUGUUGCUUUAAAUUUUGUUUUGUGUGAUAUAAGAAUAGCUACUCCUGCUCGCUUUUGAUGUCCAUUUGCAUGAAAUGUCUUUUCCCACCCCUUCACCUUAAGUUUAUGUGAGUCCUUACGUGUUAGGUGAGUCUCUUGAAGGCAGCAGAUAUUUGGUUGGUGAAUUCUUAUCCAUUCUGCAAUUCUGUAUCUUUUAAGUGGAGCAUUUAGGCCAUUUACCUUCAACAUUAGUAUUGAGAUGUGAGGUACCAUUGCAUUCAUCAUGGUAUUUGUUGCCUGUGUACCUUGUUUUUUGUUGUUGUUGUUUUUUGUUUUUGCUUUUUAACUUGCAUUUUUGUUUUAUAUACCCUGUGUGAUUUAUGCUUUAAAGAGGUUCUGUUUUGAUGUAUUUCCAGGAUUUAUUUCAAGAUUUGGAGCUCCUUUUAGCAGUUCUUGUAGUGGUGGCUUGGUACUGGCGAAUUUUCUCCACAUUUGUUUGUCUGAAAAAGACUAUCUUUCCUUCAUAUAUUACACUUAGUUUUGUUGAUACAAAAUUCUUGGCUGAUAAUUGUUUUGAGGAGGCUGAAGAUAUGGCCCCAAUCCCUUCUAGCUGUUAGGGUUUCUGCUGAGAAACCUGCUGUUAAUCUGAUAGGUUUUCCUUUAUAGGUUACCUGGUGCUUUUGUCUCACAGCUCUUUAGAUUCUUUCCUUCAUCUUAACUUUAGAUAACCUGACGACAAUGUGCCUAGGCAAUGAUCUUUUUGCAAUGAAUUUCCGAAGUGUUCUUUGUGCUUCUCAUAUUUGGAUAUCUAGGUCUCUAGUAAGGCCAGGGAAGUUUUUCUCGAUUACUCCCAGAAAUAUGUUUUCCAAACUUUUAGAUUUCUCUUCUCCUCAGGAAUGCUGAUUAUUCUUAGGUUUGGUUGUUUAACAUAAUUCCAGACCUCUUGGCAGGUUUGUUGAUAUUUUCUUAUUCUUUUUUCUUUGUCUUUAUUGGAUUGGAUUAGCUCAAAGACCUUGACUUUGAGCUCUGAAUCCCUUUCUUCUACUUGUUUGAUUCUAUUGCUGACACUUUCCUGAGCAUUUUGCAUUUCUAUAAGUGUGUCCAUUGUUUUCUGAAGUUUUUAUUGUUUUUUAUUUAUGCUAUCUAUUUCCUUGAAUAUUUCUCCUUUCAAUUCUUGUAUCCUUUUUUUUUUUUUUUUUAAUUUCCUUACAUUUGGCUUCACCUUUCUCUGGUGCCUCCCAGGUUAGCUUAAUAACUCACUUCCUGAAUUCUUUUUCAGGUAAGUCAGGGAUUCCUUCUUGGUUUGGAUCCAUUGCUGGUAAGCUAGUGUGAUUUUGGGGGGUUGUUAAAUAACCUUGUUUUGUCAUAUUACCAGAGUUGGUUUUCUGGUUCCUUCUCAUUUGGGUAGGCUCUGUCAGAGGGAAAGUCUAGGGCUGAAGGCUGUUGUUCAGAUUCUUAUGUCCCAUGGGGUGUUCUCUUGACAUAGUACUCUCCCCUUUUUCCUAUGCAUGUGGCUUCUUGAGAGCCAAGCUGUAGUGGUUGUUAUCUUUCUUCUGGAUCUACCCACCCAGCAAGUCUACCAGGCUCUGAGCUGGUACUGAAGGUUGUCUACACAGAGUCCUGUGAUGUGCACCAUCUGUGGUUCUCUCAGCCAUGGAUACCAGCACCUGUUCUGGUAGAGGUGUCAGGGGGGUGAAAUGGAUUCUGUGAUGGUUCUUAGCUUUGAUGGUUUAAUGCACUAUUUUUGUGCUAGUUGGCCUCCUGCUGGGAAGUGGGACUUUCCAGAGAGCAUCAGGUGUGGUAGUAUGGGGAGGAACAGGUGGUGAGUGUGGCCCUAGAACUCCCAAGAAUAUAUGCCCUUUGUCUUUAGUUACCAGGGUGGGUAGGAAAGGACUCUUGGGUCAGGGUAGAGCUAGGCAUGUCUGAGCUCAGAUUUUCCUUGGGCAGGUCUUAUUGCGGCUGCUGUGGAAGAUGGGGGUGAGAUUCCCAGGUCAAUGGAGUUAUAUUCCUAGGAGGAUUAUGGCUGUCUCUGCUGUGUCAUGCAGGCUGUCAGGGAAGUGGGAGAAAGUCAGCAGCCAAAGGCAUCACCCAGCUCCCACACAAUCCAAAGGGCUGGUCUCACUCCCACUGUGCCCCCGCAACAGCACCGAGUCUGUUUCCAGGCAGUGGGCGAGCAGGGCUGAUAACUUGCCCCAGCAUAUCUGCCUCCCAGCUGUGAAAGCAAGUAUGGCUUUCCUUCUUGCCCCACCUGUGGACACUGCUCACUGGAUUCAUGCCCUUUCCCAAGUUCUGACCAGGAGAUUUCUUGAUCAGUUCAAAUCAUUACAAAAUUCAGCUGGAGAUACCCUUCUCCCUGUGGUCUUUUCCCAGUGCCUUUGGCCAUCCUCCUGAAGGACCCCUGUGAGGCCAGGCAGAGAUGGCUUGUUAGGGAACCCAGCGAGCUCACAGGGCUUUUUCCGCUGCUUCCUUUACCCCUGUAUUUCACUCAUUUCUCUAAGUUGACUCAGCUCCAGGUAAGAUCAGAAUCUUCGGUAUUCUAGACCUUCAGUUUCCCCAGUGGGGGUGUGUGUUCAGGGGCAGAUGGUCUUUUUCCCACUUCCACAAUUUGGGCACUCACAGUAUUUGGGGUGUCUCUCGGGUCCUGCAGGAACAAUCUGCUUUCUUCAGAGGGUCUGUGGGUCCUUUCAGGUUUCCUGAUUUAUUCCUGCAGUCAUUCUGGAGCAAAAAUUCAUAAUGCAAGCCUCCAUAUGCUGCUCUGUCUGUCAGAAUCAGAACUGCAAUCUAGUUCUGUCUCCUGUCUGCCAUAAUCCUGAGCCUAUUACUCGGAUGAGCAUUUUUUCACAUGGUUCCUGGCUGCUUUUAUGUCUUCUUUUGAGAAGUGCCUAUUCGUGUCCUUCAUGUCCUUCAUGCAUGUACAUUUCCCCACUGAAGGAAUUUAAUAGCUCAGUAUUAUUUUAUUUUCAUCUCUAUCUGAUUCUAAAUAGACACAGGCUCUUCAUACUUUAGGUAUUGAUUAAUAUUUUGUGUAUAAAGCAACUAGCCCAGGUCUAAGUGCUCUUCAAGGAUUAUGUCAUUCAUUCAUCAUAACAAGCCUCUGAGGUAGGGGCUGUUAUAAUCUCAGCUUUAAAGAUGAGAGGACUGAGGUAUGGAGAGGUUAAUAUUCAUACCAAUAGCAUCCCUCCAAGUCAUGACAUCAUGAUGACAACCAAAAUGACUUCAGACAUUGCCAAGUAUCCCCCACAGGGGGUGAGGUGGUGAGGGGGAAAGACAAAAAUUCCUCCUGGUUGAGAGCCACCAUAUUAGAUGCUAAGGCAAUACAAGAGAAAAAGACAAGAUCUCUGCCCUUGGUGAGAUUACAGUCUCACUUAACAUUUCAUUUAAUACACUGGUCAGGUAGCCUAAUGUGUUUUUGUUGUUAGAGUUGUAUAACUUAAGUAUUCAAUCUUCACCCAAUGUCAUAUAGAAGCAUCUUUACCUUAAUAAUCUUGGUCCUAAGAGUAAGAAAUGCUGGUAAUGAAAAAAUGGGUCAAUGUUUAUAAGCUUCAUAAAUAGAAAAGAAAUCACAAUUGCAGCUUUUUAAUGCAAUGGCCGCGUGUUAAGGAAAUGUGGAUAAAUGCAUGUACAUUUCCCUACUGACAGAAUUUAAUAGCUCAGAAUCAUUUUAUUUUCAUCUCUAUCUGAUUCUAAAUAGAUACAAGCUCCUCAUACUUUAGGUAUUGAUUAAUAUUUUGUGUAUAAAGCAACUAGCCCAGUUCUAAGUGCUUUUCAAGAAUUAUUCAUUCUUUAUAACAAGGCUGUGAGGUAGGGGCUGUUACAAUCUCAGUUUUUAAGAUGAGGAAACUGAGAUGUGGAGAGGUUAAGUAAGUGGCCCAAGAUCACACACCAUUUAGUGGUGGACCCAGAGCCCAAAUCCUCAAUGACUACACAGCACUGCUUCAAUGAAGAGAAAGAAUUAUGAGGAAGAGGAAGGGAAAUAAGUGAUCAAGCUUGUCUCCUGCCUCUCCCAAUUCAGUCAAAUGUGGUCCCAGUGGCAUGAGAAAGUUGUUCCCUAUUGGAAAUGCCCCAAACCACUUUGGAACUUGAUUCUGACCCCUCAGCAUCAGGUGCCACAGACCCAAGGUCAAGUGCCACUGGUGGGUCAUAAAGUUGUGUUCCCAGAGGGGAUAUGAAGUCAGUAAGAACUAAUAGCCUUGUUCAAGGUCAGAGACGCAAGAGAAUAAAGUCCAAAUUCUUUAACAGUAUUGCACUAUCCAUUCACGGCCCUAUGUGCCAAAGAAACAAAACCACUUGCUGAGGAAGAGGAUGCUCAGGUUCAGAAGAGCAGGAAACCCAGAAGCCAGAAUAAUAAACUAUUAGUGAGAAAAUCCACCCAAGGUUAGUCUUUAGAUAGAAGCUCUGAAUGGUCCUCCACCAAAGAGAGGCAUCUCCACUGAAUAGUGAAUACUUGCAGGUUUCUCUUCCUUAUUCUUUUUGAUUCUGCAAUACAGAAUCUUUGAUGACUUUAUUUUCAUUGCUUGCCAAAUCCACAAAAGUUCACUAUGCUAGGUAAGAAAAAAAAAUAGUCAGUUUUCCUAUAACAUGACAUAUUCUUUAAAAAUUACUCUAAUUUGGAAAAUUAUACAUUAAAAAGUGCAUGGCUUAUGAGGAAAAUGGGGUUAGGGGAAUAACAGUAAAAACAUCAGUGACACAUUUAAAACCAGAGAGUAAUGGCAGGACAGUUUUACAUGUGUUAAUGGUUAAGAAAUACAUAAACUAUACAAUAAGUAUGGCACUUUGCCUUGGAAAGACCUAAAGUUUGUUUGUGGACAUGGGCGUUGCAGUUUGUGGGUUAUUGUGAAGUGAUGGAAAGAGGGUUGUCUGAAAUCAGAUGGAAAGUUAUAACACUAAAUGUGGAUGGGUGUGGUUGAUAGAUGUUUGAGGCAUGUGUUUUAUGUAUUACCACACAGCUCGGUUGAACUAGGUGUAAUUUUCUGCGUUCACCUGGUGUUUCUUGCUGAUGGAAUCAUGCUCAAGCAAACACGAAAUUCAUGUCAUGCAUGCUCAAAUUGUUCCCUGAUACAUCAAUCACAUUGGAACAAAUUCACAUUUUCAAAAGAGACAUUAUAGCAGAACUGACUUACAGUGCCUUAGCUAGUAAGAAGAUGGAAGACAGUGGCAGAAUGGAGGAUUAUCAAGGACAAUCAGCCUCUAAUGAAAUCUCCAGGCCACCUUCCCAUGCUACUGUGAAGGCAUACACCUACAACUAAUAAAAAUUGUUUUUUGCCCCCUCCCCUCUCCCCUCUCCCCUCUCCCCUCUUUCCACGGUCUCCCUCUCCCUCUCUCUCCCCCCAUGGUCUCCCUCUCCCUCUCUUUCCACGGUCUCCCUCUGAUGCCGAGCCGAAGCUGGACGGUACUGCUGCCAUCUCAGCUCACUGCAACCUCCCUGCCCGAUUCUCCUGCCUCAGCCUGCCGAGUGCCUGCGAUUGCAGGCCCGCGCCGCCACGCCUGACUGGUUUUCGUAUUUUUUUGGUGGAGACGGGGUUUCGAUGUGUUGGCUGGGCUGGUCUCCAGCUCCUAACCGCGAGUGAUCCGCCAGCCUCGGCCUCCCGAGGUGCCGGGAUUGCAGACGGAGUCUCGUUAACUCAGUGCUCAAUGGCGCCCAGGCUGGAGUGCAGUGGCGUGAUCUCGGCUCGCUACAACCACCUCCCAGCCGCCUGCCUUGGCCUCCCUAAGUGCCGAGAUUGCAGCCUCUGCCUGGCAGCCACCCCGUCUGGGAAGUGAGGAGCGUCUCCGCCUGACCGCCCAUCGUCUGGGAUGUGAGGAGCCCCUCUGCCUGGCUGCCCAGUCUGGAAAGUGAGGAGCGUCUCUGCCCGGCCGCCAUCCCAUCUAGGAAGUGAGGAGCGCCUCUUCCCGGCUGCCAUCACAUCUGGGAAGUGAGGAGCGUCUCUGCCCGGCCGCCCAUCAUCUGAGAUGUGGGGAGCACCUCUGCCCUGCCGCCCCAUCCGGGAUGUGAGGAGCGUCUCUGCCCGGCCGCCCUGUCUGAGAAGUGAGGAGACCCUCUGCCUGGCAACCGCCCCGUCUGAGAAGUGAGGAGCCCCUCCACCCGGCAGCCACCCCGUCUGAGAAGUGAGGAGCGUCCUCCCUCCUUGUCCGGGAGGGAGGUGGGGGGGUCAGCCCCCCGCCCGGCCAGCCACCCCGUCCGGGAGGUGAGGGGCGCCUCUGCCCGGCCGCCCCUACCGGGAAGUGAGGAGCCCCUCUGCCCGGCCAGCCGCCUCAUCUGGGAGGGAGGUGGGGGGGUCAGCCCCCCGCCUGGCCAGCUGCCCCGUCCGGGAGGCGAGGGGUGCCUCUGCCUGGCCGCCCCUACUGGGAAGUGAGGAGCCCCUCUGCCCGGCCAGCCGCCCCA